ACCCGGGGGGCUCCGGGGGCGCUCGGCGGUGCCCGGGCGGCUCCCGGGGCGGGAGGCCCCUGGCGAGCCCCGCGGCCGGUCACCUGCGGCAAGCCGCCGGCCCGGGGCUGGAGCGGGGGAUGCUCUGCCCCGAGAGGCUCGCCGGGAGCGCAGGCAGCGUGCGGUCCUGCCCAGGAGGACGGGGCUCUGCCGCCUCCCUCGGCCGCGGGGGAAGCCGCGGCCAGGCAGCGCUGCCUGCUCAGGUUACCCCGCGGGUCCCCCCCCCCGGCUUACACGGAGGCAGAAGCAUUAGCAUCUGGGCUAGUCCUGAUGCCGAGCAGCGAAGUGCGUAACACAGGAUUGGGGGGGGGGGGACUGAAGGAAGUGGACGCCUGUGCCUCCGUCUAAAAAUACAUACAUGUCCUAGAGGUGCAGCGUUUUGCACCUAUGUAGCGCCUUACGAAAAAAACUUAGUAGUGUCUGUUUCCCUUAUAAGGAAAAACAGCAGCGGUGUUGGCUUUACCUUAGAAGCUGCUGCAGAGCGAGUAAGGCGCUUUCUAGCAACUAGCAUGGCACAGACACCGACGCACCGAGCUCUUCUGUACAUACUCCUCAAUCUCUACAGCCAGCUCCAGAACAAAUGCAUGCCUCAUCCUCAUCAAGGAAAGGAAAAAAAGCCCUGCAGUUUGUACUUAUGCUUUUGGGUUGAUUUAGAAAUCCUGAAAUCCUGAAGAAGAGCAAACCACUACCACCCCUUGAAAGCCACUCGAGCCUUUGCAAACAUUUGGACUCUGAAGAGCAUCUAGACAAACAGAUUCCUAUACGGCCUCCAAAACUCAUCCACUCAGAAGUUUCACUCAA
Aquila chrysaetos chrysaetos is the source of this 840-nucleotide long non-coding RNA. RefSeq lists it as uncharacterized. The record is from RefSeq and is a predicted model, not a curated record. The transcript has 2 exons. NCBI's taxonomy places the organism in Eukaryota, Metazoa, Chordata, Aves, Accipitriformes, Accipitridae.